UCAAGUGACUAAGAGCAUGUGGUGGAUGCCUUGGCGAUGAUAGGCGACGAAAGACGUGAAAGCCUGCGAUAAGCUUCGGGGAGCUGGCAAAUAAGCAUUGAUCCGGAGAUUUCUGAAUGGGGAAACCCACCUGCAAAGGUAUCGCACUCUGAAUACAUAGGGGUGCGAGGCGAACCGGGUGAACUGAAACAUCUCAGUAGCUCGAGGAAAAGACAUCAACCGAGAUUCCGAAAGUAGUGGCGAGCGAAAUCGGAGAAGCCUGUUAGUGAUAGCACGAUCUUUAGCAAAGCGGUCUGGAAAGGCCGACCAUAGUGGGUGAUAGUCCCGUAUGCGAAAAGGAACGUGUGGUACUGAGCUAGCGAAAAGUAGGGCGGGACACGAGAAAUCCUGUCUGAAUAUGGGGGGACCAUCCUCCAAGGCUAAAUACUCAUCAUCGACCGAUAGUGAACAAGUACCGUGAGGGAAAGGCGAAAAGAACCCCGGGAGGGGAGUGAAAUAGAUCCUGAAACCGCAUGCUUACAAAAAGUCGGAGCCCGCAAGGGUGACGGCGUACCUUUUGUAUAAUGGGUCAGCGACUUACAUUCAGUGGCAAGCUUAACCGAGUAGGGAAGGCGUAGGGAAACCGAGUCCGAACAGGGCGAUUCAGUCGCUGGGUGUAGACCCGAAACCAAGUGAUCUAUCCAUGGCCAGGAUGAAGGUGCCGUAACAGGUACUGGAGGUCCGAACCGACUGGUGUUGCAAAACCAGCGGAUGAGCUGUGGAUAGGGGUGAAAGGCUAAACAAACUUGGAAAUAGCUGGUUCUCUCCGAAAACUAUUUAGGUAGUGCCUCACGUAUUACCUUCGGGGGUAGAGCACUGUUUUGGCUAGGGGGUCAUGGCGACUUACCAAACCAAGGCAAACUCCGAAUACCGAAGAGUACAGCGUGGGAGACAGAGCACCGGGUGCUAACGUCCGGACUCAAGAGGGAAACAACCCAGACCGCCAGCUAAGGUCCCUAAAAUUGGCUAAGUGGGAAACGAAGUGGGAAGGCUAAAACAGUCAGGAUGUUGGCUUAGAAGCAGCCAUCAUUUAAAGAAAGCGUAAUAGCUCACUGAUCGAGUCGUCCUGCGCGGAAGAUGUAACGGGGCUAAGCCAGUUACCGAAGCUGCGGAUUCACAGUUUACUGUGAGUGGUAGGAGAGCGUUCUGUAAGCCUGUGAAGGUGGCUUGUAAAGGCUGCUGGAGGUAUCAGAAGUGCGAAUGCUGACAUGAGUAGCGUUAAAGCGGGUGAAAAGCCCGCUCGCCGUAAGCGCAAGGUUUCCUACGCAACGUUCAUCGGCGUAGGGUGAGUCGGCCCCUAAGGCGAGGCAGAGAUGCGUAGCUGAUGGGAAGCAGGUCAAUAUUCCUGCACCGAUUGCAAGUGCGAUGUGGGGACGGAUCUUAAUAGGUUAUCCGGGUGUUGGAUGUCCCGGUUUAGGCAGAAGUAGGCGAUGGGUAGGCAAAUCCGCCCGUCAUAUACCGAGGCUGUCGAUCGAGCGAGCUUGCUCGCGAAGUAACUGAACGAGGUCCCAGGAAAAGCCACUAAGCUUCAGCUUGCAAUUGACCGUACCGCAAACCGACACUGGUGCGCGAGAUGAGUAUUCUAAGGCGCUUGAGAGAACUCGGGAGAAGGAACUCGGCAAAUUGACACCGUAACUUCGGAAGAAGGUGUGCCCUAGUAGUGUGAUGAGAACAUCUGAGCAUGAAUGGGUUGCAAAAAAUAGGUGGCUGCGACUGUUUAUUAAAAACACAGCACUCUGCAAACACGAAAGUGGACGUAUAGGGUGUGACGCCUGCCCGGUGCUGGAAGAUUAAUUGAUGGGGUGCAAGCUCUUGAUCGAAGUCCCAGUAAACGGCGGCCGUAACUAUAACGGUCCUAAGGUAGCGAAAUUCCUUGUCGGGUAAGUUCCGACCUGCACGAAUGGCGUAACGAUGGCCACACUGUCUCCUCCCGAGACUCAGCGAAGUUGAAAUGUUUGUGAUGAUGCAAUCUCCCCGCGGAAAGACGGAAAGACCCCAUGAACCUUUACUGUAGCUUUGUAUUGGACUUUGAACGGAUCUGUGUAGGAUAGGUGGGAGGCUUUGAAGUGCGGUCGCUAGAUCGCAUGGAGCCGACGUUGAAAUACCACCCUGGUGUGUUUGAGGUUCUAACCUAGGUCCCUUAUCGGGAUCGGGGACAGUGC
Molecule: ribosomal RNA, 2201 nt
Filed under: freshwater metagenome
Description: bacterial LSU rRNA
Rfam family: Bacterial large subunit ribosomal RNA
Source: RNAcentral